RNAcentral lists this transfer RNA (91 nucleotides) under Neurospora sublineolata FGSC 5508. Its description in RNAcentral is "tRNA-Und (NNN) (tRNA-Und-NNN-9-1)". The stretch from base 7 to 86 matches the Rfam family "tRNA", at positions 5 to 66 of the family's 71-position model. From Rfam's summary of the family: Transfer RNA (tRNA) molecules are approximately 80 nucleotides in length. Their secondary structure includes four short double-helical elements and three loops (D, anti-codon, and T loops). The record is from RNAcentral. Lineage: Eukaryota; Fungi; Ascomycota; Sordariomycetes; Sordariales; Sordariaceae.
GGUCGUCGCUAGCUCGUUGGUUAUGAGCAUCUGUCUUGACCCUGAAAGGGAGAGAGACAGAAGGUUCUGGGUUCGAUUCCCGGGCGGAUCU